GCGCGAAACUUUACACUGCGGGAAACCGCGAUAAGGGGACCCCGAGUGCCAGCACCUAGUGCUGGCUGUCCAGCUGUUCAAAAACAGUUGUUAGCAAGGGCCGGGCAAGACCGGUGCCAGCCGCCGCGGUAACACCGGCGGCCCGAGUGGUAGCCGUUAUUAUUGGGUUUAAAGGGUCCGUAGCCGGCCUAUUAAGUCUCUUGGGAAAUCUGGCGACUCAAUCGUCAGGCGUUCAAGAGAUACUGGUAGGCUUGGGACCGGGAGAGGUGGGAGGUACUCCAGGGGUAGGGGUGAAAUCUCGUAAUCCUUGGGGGACCACCGAUGGCGAAGGCAUCCCACCAGAACGGGUCCGACGGUGAGGGACGAAAGCUGGGGGCACGAACCGGAUUAGAUACCCGGGUAGUCCCAGCUGUAAACGAUGCUCGCUAGGUGUCAGGUGCGGUGCGACCGCAUCUGGUGCCGUAGUGAAAACUUGAAGCGAGUCACCUGGGAAAGUCGACGGUCGACGACGUCUAGUAAAACGUAAAGUAAGUCGGGGAGGGACGACGACUAACG
RNAcentral lists this ribosomal RNA (555 nucleotides) under uncultured Methanosarcinales archaeon. RNAcentral's name for it is "bacterial SSU rRNA". It matches the Rfam family "Archaeal small subunit ribosomal RNA", at positions 339 to 890 of the family's 1478-position model. The record is from RNAcentral. Lineage: Archaea; Methanobacteriati; Methanobacteriota; Methanomicrobia; Methanosarcinales.